UAGAUAAUUCAUAUAUUAUAUAUUUACAUUAUCUACUUAUUAUUUAUUGAUAAUUCAUAUAUUAUAUAUUUAAUGCUUAAUGUUUAUUUCCACUUCAUGACUUUUUAUUUACUUAAUAUCUCUAUUUUACAUUUUAAGAUAGAUGUUUAAAUCUUAAUGUACGUUUUCCUUUUUUUUUUUAAAUUGUAUAUUUCCAUUUGUUAUACUUUCUAUUUACGUAAUAUCUAUAUUUUAAAUUUUAAGAUAUAUUUUUAAAUCUUAAUGUAAUUUUCCGUUUUUUAAAUUGGGUAUUUACUUAUAUUAUAUAU
Molecule: long non-coding RNA, 308 nt
Filed under: Brassica rapa (field mustard)
Lineage: Eukaryota; Viridiplantae; Streptophyta; Magnoliopsida; Brassicales; Brassicaceae
Description: long non-coding RNA (BRAP_LNC005864)
Source: RNAcentral